This 277-nucleotide ribosomal RNA is filed under the name uncultured bacterium. Its description in RNAcentral is "partial 16S ribosomal RNA". It matches the Rfam family "Bacterial small subunit ribosomal RNA", at positions 28 to 315 of the family's 1533-position model. The record is from RNAcentral.
GACGAACGCUGGCGGCGUGCUUAACACAUGCAAGUCGAACGGGGGGAGCAAUCCCCUAGUGGCGGACGGGUGAGUAACGCGUAGGUCAUCUGCCCCGCGGUGGGGGAUACCCGGCCGAAAGGCCGGCUAAUACCGCAUACGCUGAGAGGGUGCGAUUCCCUUUCAGGAAAGGUUUACUGCCGAGGGAUGAGCCUGCGUCCGAUUAGCUAGUUGGUAGGGUAAUGGCCUACCAAGGCGACGAUCGGUAGCUGGUCUGAGAGGACGAUCAGCCACACUG